AUUAAACGCUGGCGGCAUGCCUUACACAUGCAAGUCGAACGGCAGCACGGGGUGGUAACACUCUGGUGGCGAGUGGCGGACGGGUGAGUAAAGCAUCGGAACGUGCCCUGGAAUGGGGGAUAACGUAGCGAAAGUUACGCUAAUACCGCAUAUUCUGUGAGCAGGAAAGCAGGGGAUCGCAAGACCUUGCGUUCGAGGAGCGGCCGAUGUCGGAUUAGCUAGUUGGUGGGGUAAAGGCCUACCAAGGCGACGAUCCGUAGCGGGUCUGAGAGGAUGAUCCGCCACACUGGGACUGAGACACGGCCCAGACUCCUACGGGAGGCAGCAGUGGGGAAUUUUGGACAAUGGGCGCAAGCCGUGAUCCAGCCAUGCCGCGUGAGUGAAGAAGGCCUUCGGGUUGUAAACUGCUUUUGUACGGACGAAAAGGUACGUUUUCUAAUAAGAAGGCUGAUGACGGUACCGUAAGAAUAAGCACCGGCUAACUACGU
Molecule: ribosomal RNA, 488 nt
Filed under: uncultured bacterium
Lineage: Bacteria
Description: bacterial SSU rRNA
Rfam family: Bacterial small subunit ribosomal RNA
Source: RNAcentral